Molecule: non-coding RNA, 497 nt
Organism: Poecilia reticulata (guppy)
Lineage: Eukaryota; Metazoa; Chordata; Actinopteri; Cyprinodontiformes; Poeciliidae
Source: RefSeq, a predicted model, not a curated record
GGAGAAAGAAGAAGACAAAGAGAACAGCAUAUGGUCCGUUUUGUUGAAUGUUCCAGUGUUUCUCUAAAAAAAUAUCUUCAGUCCAGCUUAAACGAGUUUAUCUACAACCAGUUUACUGCUGCUGAAGAAACAUUCAGAGCUUAAAUAAAUCACCGUCAUGUCGGAGGAAGAGAUGGAUGAUCAGCGCAGACUGCUUGGUUUCUCCCGGACUCCCCAGAUAAUCUUACACCGGAUAGAUUCCCUGAAGUGCAACGUUUGUAACGAGGAGAGGAGAUCCACUGUGGACCAGGAGGAGUUAGAACCUCUGCAAGUGAAACAAGAACAGGAAGUUUACUGCAGUCAGGGUGGAGAACAGACUGAAUUAAUACAGGAGACUGAUAUGGUGGUUCCUGUUGAUGAGCAAAUAAACCAAACUGUAUCAGUACCAAACAGAAACCAAAUCAUCUUCCAGGAAGCUGCUGAAGCUGAGAACCAAAAUAAGAAAAGAUGCAAGACUU